CUUUUCAGAAGGACAAUCACCACAACUUAAUGAUGCGAAGAGUCAAUUCCGCUGUUAAUCAUCAACCAAAAACCUUGAAUUCUUCAGCUGGAAACAUCACUCAACAUCAUCGCCUCAAUGAUGAAAGCCGAUUUGAUGUGAUCAAGGACAAAAAGGUUGCAUCCCCAGAAAACGAAGUAGAUCCUCUUUCAAAUGCUGGAAGAGUUGCAUUGUCCAAAAAAUAUCGUACAGCUCGUAACCCCAAUUCUGAUACUCCCAAAACUUCAGAGUAUGCUUUCUUCAAGAAGUUGAAAAAGAACAUUGGCCAUAGCAAUUCAGAUCUUCUCCAUAGAGGGAGUAGACUACCCAAGAUCACUCAACCUAGUAAUUGUAUCUCAGACACACGGAGCACAUACAACGUGCUGAAGUGCCUAAAUAAGGAUGUUAACAUCCCAAUUCAAGUUGAAAAGGAACAUCAGACUAAUGAAUGCCAGUCCUUUUCACCUGUUGAUGGUGUCAUAGGCAUAUCCAAGGAGGCAAAACUUAAGUACUUUUCAUCCCCAACUGUAGUGACUCCUGUAUAUUCAAAUUUGCUGCUGUCACCCCUUGCAGGUCCAUCACAUAAUUCAGGGAGCCAGUACUCUGGUAAUGGGAUUUUUGCAGCAAAGAGGCAGAAACUUUGUCAGCGGGCAAAUAAACUGUUUCUUGACGUCCAAAAACUCAAUUCUGAAAGGUUUGAUUUGGUUUCUGCACUUCUUAGGCGGCUGUUUCCUGGAAGGAAGGAGGAUGAAGAUUUCUGGGAUUCACAGGUCAGGAAAGGGGAAAUAGCAAGUACGAGCUCACUUGCAAAUGCUAAGCCAGAUCAUGCAAAGACACGACCUCCUUCAAGGCACAUAGAACAUGUUGUAGCACCAGAAUAUAGGAUGAGCCUGAGUGAUUGCUGUCCCAGUAAUUUCUUUGGUAGGCCAAAGGAGAGAGUUCCCCCAGAGUUGCACUAUGAAGAUGCAGAUAAUAGUCAAAUUUCAAACAACAAAAUAACUACAAGUUUGUGGGAUCAGAGUGAUUCAUUGCCUUCAUUAUCCUUUGACCAUCAUGGGCUUGCUGAUUUCCUACCGUAUAGACUUCAUAGUGCAGAUACACCUGUAAGUAGAGGAGCACAAGACUUAUUCUUAGAUUGGGAUUUCAAUGAGAAGAAAAAUGAUCCUGUAUUAGCCAUUACUACUAUCAGAGGGAAUAAAUUGUGUUCACCAAUAGCCACCUCAUGGCACGUUGAUUACCAGCAGCAGAGUACAGAAAAGAAGCUUGAUGCGCUGGCAUUGUGUUCAUCGUCUUUAUUUAUGAACUCUGGAUAUUCUGAUGUGCUGCCAUAUUCUUGUUCAACAAGCUUUCAUAAGAAACUCUUUCCAACUGACAUCUUCUCCAAGGAAUUUGGAACGACUCUUGAACAUGAAGAAUAUGCAGUUGCAAGAAUGGACCGGUUUGAUCUACCCUUGCUAUGUAGCUCAGAGGAGCAAGAUCUUCUGGAAGAUCGUAAUCCUGAGAAUCCAUUUGAAAGCAGCAAUGCAAUCAUCCCAUAUCUAAGUCAUCAUGAGAAGCAUCAUUGUGAUUCUGAUGGCCUCAUGCCAAUGGCCUUGGAUACUUUUGGCUGGAAGUUCUUGUCAGCUGCCAGUUCCCCAUUGCACAAGGGUUUAUCAACCUAUAAUGCUUUAAGACUGCCUCAUAUAGAAGAUUCAAUUGGUCUAACACAUGAGGAGAUCAAAAACAGCUUAUAUGAUUCAAACCCAAGAGAAAUUGCUCCUCAAUCAGUUGAACGUGCACUCAACUCUGACAUUUGGUUCUCGUGCAACUCUGAAGUGUUUUCUGACAAAGCAAGUGGCAGAUCUCUAUUACUUGAUAAUUCAAGUUGGAUUACAUCUGUUGAAGAAAUUUCCCCUGAUCAUUCUGAUGAAUGGACAUGGAGCUGAAGAUUCGCAUAAAUUUCUGUGGGUCCUAUUAUCAUAUGAUGGAAUGGCAGGAUUGCCCCCUAACCCACUGAAGGUCACCAUGUUCUGGAAGUAUUCAAUGCCAAAUACACAGUGCUUAAUGGUAACAAAUGGCUUGCCUGGCUUGGAAACAGGUAAUUCCCCAAAUUAAGGUCUGUAGCUGGGCAUGUAGUAGGAAAUUGGUUUUGGAGGUUGCAAAUAAAAAAACUUAGUAGUUCUGGUAUUUUGCUUUCCUAGGUUUCAUUCACUAAGUAAACAAAUGUCUCAUAGGUAUCUAUGCUUCCACCCCAGGAUGUCGGUCUAGAGAUAAAAAUGCCAGGCAUGACGUGUGUGGACAAGAAGCACAUCAUGGGUUUGAAACCUGCCACAGACAAAAGCCUAGUAUGUUAGUGGAGAAGGAUAGAGGGGCAGGUCCAUUAUCCACCAACUACCAAGUCUCUUAUCCUGCAAUACUAGGACCUCAGGGAUUUCUCGAUUACUAGAAAAUAGGUACUUAGUAUUAUAUAGCAUUUACUGAUGGCACUUUCUGAACAACAUUUACUCAUUAGUUUUCUUUUACCAUAUAUAGAAUGUGACAUUGCAUAGCCUGUUUAACUGGGAAAAGGCAAGGAGAGUGAAAGCUACAAGUAAUUAUAUCCAAAUCUAGAGGGUUGGUAAUUUCUCAUUACAGUACAACUUGUUUGUAUAGGGAAACUGUUAGGAGCUUUCGAAUUUUGUUCUAUACCAUUUCAUACAAUUAGUUGUACUCUUUCUCGGUUCUCAAAACCAUUUUUGUCUUUGCUUGAAUUUUGAAUUAUCAUGCAAGGGUGGCGAAAGUUA
Solanum stenotomum is the source of this 2780-nucleotide RNA transcript. RefSeq lists it as uncharacterized. The transcript is spliced from 9 exons. Lineage: Eukaryota; Viridiplantae; Streptophyta; Magnoliopsida; Solanales; Solanaceae. The record is from RefSeq and is a predicted model, not a curated record.